RNAcentral lists this unclassified non-coding RNA (1882 nucleotides) under Pomacea canaliculata. Its description in RNAcentral is "uncharacterized LOC112556287, transcript variant X1". The record is from RNAcentral. Lineage: Eukaryota; Metazoa; Mollusca; Gastropoda; Architaenioglossa; Ampullariidae.
CGCGGUUUUUUUUAAAAUGGAAGCUCAACUGUCAGUCUUUGGUAGAGUCACGAACCUAUACACGUCCGUAGGUGGAGUGGCUUAACUUUUGCAGACAGAAAUAAUGUUCCAUAAUGACAACUCUUGUUAGAGCAUCAUGCGAUUACAAACUAGUUUCAGAGAAAUGCACAGUAUGAGUCUAUCAGACCCGCGCUUACUGUGCACGAAGCCUGUUGCUACAGCUUACCAUCAAAACUUUCUGGAGCAAUGGUAGAAAAGGAAUCAGUCUGAAGCUGACACUGCUGAUGUACAGAUCUAAAAUAUCGAAAUGACUGCAGACUUCACGGUGGAAAACAGUAUCUACAAUAAAGUGUUACGUCAGUUCCUACCGCUUUUCCUAAUCGUGGGCCGAUGGCUGAUGCCUAAAGGGGACAUGACUCAUGAUCAGCUUUCGCAACUUCUGCUUAUCUACCUUGGACAGCAGCCGACAUCACGGAUUUCUACGACAGCCUAGCGUUAUCUGAUGUGAGGUGCUCGAAGGGUCUGACCUUCCUGGUGCUGGUGUUGUGGACCUGCAGCCUGAUGCAGUUUACUAUCUUCAUCAGGCCCAACCAGACGACAACCCAUCAGACGGGACUCCUAAAGGGGUAUCUGGGAGACGAUCUAAGUGACAACAUCCGGAAAGAAAUGCUCUGGGCCAUCACAACUAUCGGCAUGCAGGACCUGCCGUUCGUCGUAGCCCGUACAUACAUCCUUUUCCGCCACGCUACGUUCUCGCCAACCAACGUGUUCUACCUCUUUAAGAACAGCUGUAUCAUCGUCAUUCUGGUGUACCGCGUCGCCGUCGUCAAGAGCGAAUCGCACCGCAGAGAGCGCACGCGCAUAGAGGAGCUCGUCCGCGCACGUGCAGUGCUGUGCAGAAUGCGCCACAAGGACAGGGUGCACAUCGUCUGGGACAUGGACAUGCGCAGAAAGUCCAUCAAGCAGCUGUCGGAUAUGAUGCCUGUUAAGUCUUCGUCGCAGACGACAAAUGAAGACGACAGCGAAGACGACAAUAAUGACACGAGUGAAAGCUCGGAUGAAGAAAAAAAGGUUACAUAAUCGGAAAUGAGUCGGGUAUUCGAGCACUGCUCCGAUUUUCUGGUUAACUUUAUAGUUCGAGGUACGAUGUUCAUGUUAAAUAUCAAAAUACACGGUAGUGAUACAAAAUACACGGUGGUCUGAAAUUCGCUAGCAUUCAACACGAUUUCACAUAGCUUUACAUCACCAUGCAUGAUUUCACUGUAAUCGUUCCAGUACGCUAUAGGGUUUCAUGCAUGUGUAUGGAUGUUUUAUUGUAUGCGCGUCUUCACAAAAUGUGGGUACUCAUUUUUGAUAAGGACAUUCCAUAUAUGAUGCUACUUUUUCUACUUUAUUUGAAUAUAUGAGCCAUCUGUAAGUAUUGCUACAAGAACGUGCUAUAAUGUCACACUAGUUUCAAACUGUAUUUACCUAUUUGCUGAUAGGCAAAACAACUUGUGUUGAGGUUGUAACCUAUUUCCUGAUGGUGAUUAUUAGUGAUGUAGUUGUAUAUUUUGCGUAAUGUAUUAGUGAUGUAAAUUUAUUUUAAGCUUAUUCUUAAAUUUUCACAUUUCCCAUUGAAAUGGGAUUAAUAUAAGCCUACUGAGACCCCAGUAAGAGGUUACGGACUUUCUCUCAUUUGAUAUUCAGCAUGUAUACUGGCUUAACCACGAACCUUAUUGAUUCUGUACUUAAAGCACUUGAUAAGAGAAGCUAGUCUUCAGAAAUAUAAACACCACAAUAUAUUUUCAGCUGUUUUCUCAUCGAUUGCUGGACUGAGUUGUGACUGUCCUCCAGCUGAUAGGUAUUAGGGCUUAUUUCUGAUUUCACGCUGGCUGACGAG